This 785-nucleotide long non-coding RNA is filed under the name Homo sapiens (human). RNAcentral's name for it is "HSALNT0037242". The record is from RNAcentral. Lineage: Eukaryota; Metazoa; Chordata; Mammalia; Primates; Hominidae.
UUCCACUUGGCCGGCACCAUGUUUUCUGCUCCCUACUGCACAAGUGGCUGGCAAAGAGAAGGGAAGAUGAAGCCACCAUUUUGAUCAUGCCUAGUCUCAGGGACAGUGCAGUUGCUGGCCUGGAGCAUGCUCGGCUGAGGACCGCUGCUCUGAUGCGUGGAGAAGAAACAUGAAGUCCGCAGCUGCCCACAUUCAGGGAAGAUCUUUGAAAGCUCUUCAGACAGUGCCACCCAUCUUCAUGAAGCUGAUCCCCGGAUCUCACUCGCUUGUUUCUCCUCCUUCACCUGCUGAUGAUCAAUGUAGACUUUAGCCCUCAGAAGCUCUCAAAAGACCCAGAUCUUGUGAACUGUUUUCACAUUUCCCCAUGGAUGCCUAGCAAGGGACUGGGACUGCCUGAUCCGCUUUGGUCAAGAGCACGUGGGUGGCCUGUGUGCAGGCUUAUCAUCAAUAAUUGCAGGACUUGGUGGAGUAUGGUUGAACAGGUGCUCAGACUGCAUGCGUGUCUAGCGAGGCCAUCCUGAAGCUGCAUGGGAGUUGUAAAAAAGUUACCAACAAGUUUUUAGUUAUUUGAAUAGGUUUUUGAAUAGAUUUGGAAUGUGGGAAGCAGUUGCAGAAAUAAACGUCUUAAUGACUAAAUGUAGCUUGCUGUUUUUAGCCCAGUUUCACAGAUCACAACUCUGACCAUACUAGUGGGUAGUUUAUGUGUCUUCUCAUGCGGGGAGAGCCGUUCAACUCACUCCUGAGGCUUAGGCCCAGGUUGGAAGGGGACGGACUCCCAGCUGGGC